This 485-nucleotide ribosomal RNA is filed under the name uncultured bacterium. Its description in RNAcentral is "bacterial SSU rRNA". It matches the Rfam family "Bacterial small subunit ribosomal RNA", at positions 34 to 518 of the family's 1533-position model. The record is from RNAcentral.
CGCUGGCGGCGUGCCUAACACAUGCAAGUCGAGCGGAGUUAACAAGAGGAAGUUUCGGAUGGAAUUUGUUAAUUUAGCGGCGGACGGGUGAGUAACGCGUGAGCGACCAACCUUGCACGAGGGGAUAACGGACCGAAAGGUUCACUAAUACCGCAUGAGACCACGGUGUUGCAUGACACAGAGGUCAAAGGAGCAAUCCGGUGCAAGACGGGCUCGCGUCCGAUUAGGUAGUUGGUGGGGUAAUGGCCCACCAAGCCUAUGAUCGGUAGCCGACCUGAGAGGGUGAUCGGCCACAUUGGAACUGAGAUACGGUCCAAACUCCUACGGGAGGCAGCAGUGGGGAAUAUUGGGCAAUGGGGGAAACCCUGACCCAGCAACGCCGCGUGAAGGAAGAAGGUUUUCGGAUUGUAAACUUCUGUCCCUGGUGAAGAGAGGAAGACGGUAGCCAAGGAGGAAGCCCCGGCUAACUACGUGCCAGCCGCCGC